GCUUCCACUGAGAAGAUAGUGGCGAACGGGUGAGUAACACGUGGGUAACCUGCCCAUAAGAGGGGGGAUAACGAUCCGGAAACGGGUGCUAAUACCGCAUAGUUUUCUUGAUCGCAUGAUCGGGAAAGGAAAGACGGCCUUUGUGCUGUCGCUUAUGGAUGGACCCGCGGCGUAUUAGUUAGUUGGUGAGGUAACGGCUCACCAAGACGAUGAUACGUAGCCGACCUGAGAGGGUGAUCGGCCACAUUGGGACUGAGACACGGCCCAAACUCCUACGGGAGGCAGCAGUAGGGAAUCUUCCGCAAUGGACGAAAGUCUGACGGAGCAACGCCGCGUGAGUGAAGAAAAGGUUUUCGGAUCGUAAAACUCUGUUGUCAGAGAAGAACAAGUUGGAGAGUAACUGCUCCAGCCUUGACGGUAUCUGACCAGAAAGCCACGGCUAACUACGUGCCAGCAGCCGC
This 461-nucleotide ribosomal RNA is filed under the name uncultured bacterium. Its description in RNAcentral is "bacterial SSU rRNA". It matches the Rfam family "Bacterial small subunit ribosomal RNA", at positions 77 to 518 of the family's 1533-position model. The record is from RNAcentral.